Molecule: long non-coding RNA, 1462 nt
Filed under: Homo sapiens (human)
Lineage: Eukaryota; Metazoa; Chordata; Mammalia; Primates; Hominidae
Description: non-protein coding lnc-LPA-6:5
Source: RNAcentral
AAGAUUUUGGCCUCCAACCAUCCCUAAGAGCACCAACAGAGCCAAGGCCUUGGGAGCAGCAGUGCUACCACGGUAAUGGACAGAGUUAUCGAGGCACAUACUUCACCACUGUCACAGGAAGAACCUGCCAAGCUUGGUCAUCUAUGACGCCACAUCAGCACAGUAGGACCCCAGAAAAGUACCCAAAUGCAUACGUCUUUGUUCUUUACCAUAAGAGAAGGAAGGGCCAACUGAAGUUUCUAUUAGAAGAGUCAUGUUUCGAGCUGACUGCUCAAGACUCAACUUGUGUCAGAUGCAAAGGGCAUAGCAAAAUGUCUCAGGAACAUUGCCUUGGAGCAAAGAGUCUGAGAGAAGAGAAAUAUUAGGCUGGCUCUCCUUCCUCCUAGUUUUAUGGAGCAGGAGGAUAUCUGGAGGCGAGGAGAUCACAUUAAGGAAAAAGUCAGGACCACAAACGACCAAACACUUAGAGUACCUUUCCACACCACCCACUGAGGGCCAAUGCAGCCUUUCCACCUUGGAAUACUAUCAUUCUAACCUCCAAUUCCUGAAGUGAAAGUUGUGUUGGCCUUUUCUGUCUUGGUUCAAGAGAAAAAAAUAUUUGCAUAUCUAUGGAGAGGCAAAUGUCUCUCUUUCUGUAUCUACGUCUUUUCCAAUGGGUAGAAACACACUUGGUCCUGAGCACCAGUGCUCUGACAAGAUACAGGUUGCCAGCAAGGGAAGAGCAAAGGCAAGAAGGCAGAUGAGAGUCAACAAAGAGGCAGAUGCUGAAAAUUAAGCCUGGUGGGUAGAUGGUCAGAAGCCCUGGUCUGACCACCCUGUGUCCAGCCUCUCUGCUGUAAGUGGCUACCAAAGACAUGGAAAAAUGGUUUCUGCAUGUUAGACAACAGACGGUAGAGGACCAAGAGAAUUGUGAGAGGGGGAACAAUGCGAUCAACUCCAUAAGUGCCCUCCCUGGCUGUCUUCUUGGAGACCCUUCCUGCACUGAAGAGCAGGGAGAUGGAGCACAUGUGGACUGUAGCUAUCUUGCUGAAUGGAGGAGAGAGACUGGAGUUUGGGAUUACUCAGGUAGCUAGGAUUUUUCUAGGCCUGCUAAGAAUGAGAGCGGAUGUGUGGAGGAAAGGAGCUCUGGGAAUAUGCAUAGAAGUCUCCUCAAGUCAUUGGCUAAACAUGAAGCUGCUUGUGCACAGAAAAGGGCUCCACAGGAGAGUGGGGCCAAGGACAUCUACUGAGCAACUACAAGGGGACAACUAUGAGAAAACAGCAUCUACAAGGAAACAGUGAGCUCAGUAAAGAUGACAGUGCUCACAUAGCACUAGCGGAUAUUAGAGUUCUAACCAGCCAGAGGAGAGAGAAGUCACUGAACAUCUUGGGCAUUCAGUAGAGACCCCAGAAAAGCCAGACUUUAAGGGUAGAAUUAAUAUAUUCCUAGAAUAAAGGCAGCUCCAGACAAAACCUAGCUGAG